ACGGGAGGCAGCAGUGGGGAAUAUUGGGCAAUGGGGGCAACCCUGACCCAGCAACGCCGCGUGAAGGAAGAAGGUCUUCGGAUUGUAAACUUCUUUUAUGAGGGACGAAGGACGUGACGGUACCUCAUGAAUAAGCUACGGCUAACUACGUGCCAGCAGCCGCGGUAAUACGUAGGUAGCGAGCGUUAUCCGGAUUUACUGGAUGUAAAGGGCGCGUAGGCGGGGAAGCAAGUCAGGUGUGAAAUCUAUGGGCUUAACCCAUAAACUGCACUUGAAACUGUUUUUCUUGAGUGCUGGAGAGGUAGACGGAAUUCCUAGUGUAGCGGUGAAAUGCGUAGAUAUUAGGAAGAACACCAGUGGCGAAGGCGGUCUACUGGACAGUAACUGACGCUGAGGCGCGAAAGCGUGGGGAGCAAACAGGAUUAGAUACCCUGGUA
The sequence is a ribosomal RNA, 437 nucleotides long. It matches the Rfam family "Bacterial small subunit ribosomal RNA", at positions 341 to 792 of the family's 1533-position model.